GAAUUAGAUCAUUUCUGACUUGUCAUGACCAGGGAUAUACCCAUGUAGACUGGCUUGGUUUGAAUUUCCAAAAGGAGGGUU
Long non-coding RNA from Etheostoma spectabile (orangethroat darter), 81 nucleotides. RefSeq lists it as uncharacterized. The record is from RefSeq and is a predicted model, not a curated record. Lineage: Eukaryota; Metazoa; Chordata; Actinopteri; Perciformes; Percidae. The transcript has 3 exons.